This 494-nucleotide ribosomal RNA is filed under the name uncultured bacterium. RNAcentral's name for it is "partial 16S ribosomal RNA". It matches the Rfam family "Bacterial small subunit ribosomal RNA", at positions 28 to 507 of the family's 1533-position model. The record is from RNAcentral.
GACGAACGCUGGCGGCGCGCUUAACACAUGCAAGUCGAACGGAAAGGCCUGCUUUCCCUUGUGGAUUGCGGGUACUCGAGUGGCGAACGGUUGAGUAACACGUGAGUGAUCUGCCCCCAACUUGGGUAUAAGCCUGGGAAACUGGGUCUAAUUCCCGAUAGGACUGCAGGGUGGUGCCUGUGGUGGAAAACGAUUUUCUAGUGGUUGGGGAUGAGCUCGCGGCCUAUCAGCUUGUUGGUGGGGUAAUGGCCUACCAAGGCGGCGACGGGUAGCCGGCCUGAGAGGGUGGACGGCGACAUUGGGACUGAGAUACGGCCCAGACUCCUACGGGAGGCAGCAGUGGGGAAUAUUAGACAAUGGGCGGAAGCCUGAUGCAGCGACGCCGCGUGGGGGAUGACGGCCUUCGGGUGGUAAACUCCUUUCGACCGCGAGGAAGCCACCUGGUUGGAAGGGUGGUGACGGUAGUGGUAGAAGAAGCACCGGCUAACUACGUG